ACUCAAAUGAAUUGACGGGGGCCCGCACAAGCGGUGGAUCAUGUGGUUUAAUUCGAAGCAACGCGAAGAACCUUACCUGGAUUUGACAUCCUCUGACAUCCGUAGAAAUACGGCUUCUGUAGCAAUACAGCAGAGAGACAGGUGCUGCAUGGCUGUCGUCAGCUCGUGUGGUGACAUGUUGGGUUAAGUCCCGCAACGAGCGCAACCCUUGUCCUUAGUUGCCAUCAUUAAGUUGGGCUCUCUAAGGAGACUGCCGUGGUUAACACGGAGGAAGGUGGGGAUGACGUCAAGUCCUCAUGGCCUUUAUAUCCAGGGCGACACACGUGAUACAAUGGAUGGUACAGAGAGACGCGAAAGGGCGACCUCGAGCAAAUCUCAAAAAGCCAUUCUCAGUUCGGAUUGGAGUCUGCAACUCGACUCCAUGAAGGUGGAAUCGCUAGUAAUCGCGGAUCAGCACGCCGCGGUGAAUAUGUUCCCGGGCCUUGUACACACCGCCCGU
This 499-nucleotide ribosomal RNA is filed under the name uncultured bacterium. RNAcentral describes it as "partial 16S ribosomal RNA". It matches the Rfam family "Bacterial small subunit ribosomal RNA", at positions 899 to 1397 of the family's 1533-position model. The record is from RNAcentral.